RNAcentral lists this ribosomal RNA (335 nucleotides) under uncultured Mesorhizobium sp. RNAcentral describes it as "bacterial SSU rRNA". It matches the Rfam family "Bacterial small subunit ribosomal RNA", at positions 1170 to 1505 of the family's 1533-position model. The record is from RNAcentral. Lineage: Bacteria; Pseudomonadati; Pseudomonadota; Alphaproteobacteria; Hyphomicrobiales; Phyllobacteriaceae.
AAGGUGGGGGACGACGUCAAGUCAUCAUGGGCCCUUACGUGUGGGGCUACAAACGUGCUACAAUGGUGGUGACAGUGAGCAGCUAGUCCGCGAGGACGUGCUAAUCUCUAAAAACCAUCUCAGUUCGGAUUGUACUCUGCAACUCGAGUGCAUGAAGUUGGAAUCGCUAGUAAUCGGCCAUCAGCAUGGGCCGGUGAAUACGUUCCCGGGUCUUGUACACACCGCCCGUCACGUCAUGGGAGUUGGUUCUACCCGAAGACGCCGCGCUAACCUCGGAGGCAGGCGACCACGGUAGGGUCAGUAACUGGGACGAAGUCGUAACAAGGUAACCGUAA